RNAcentral lists this long non-coding RNA (696 nucleotides) under Mus caroli (Ryukyu mouse). RNAcentral's name for it is "predicted gene 20692 (MGP_CAROLIEiJ_G0003927.1)". Lineage: Eukaryota; Metazoa; Chordata; Mammalia; Rodentia; Muridae. The record is from RNAcentral.
NNNNNNNNNNNNNNNNNNNGAUAUCAUCUAUAGUACGCGCCAGGCAAUUGUGUUUAAGUUGGUUUGUCCUGAGAAAGCUCUGAGAAAGGGCUGUGCUGUUAGGUUAAUAUUUAGUAUGCNCUCACUGGUGUUCAUUUCCAUGUUCGUCUGAACCACAAGACCUUCCCUGGGUCANUGCUUUCUUUGUCACAGUUGUGUAUAAAAGUGAGUGCACUGAAACUGAAGUAAGGCUGACCAUGGCAUUAGACUACAGUCCGCCCUGGUCUUUCAAGUCCUCAGAUCCCAGGUCUCCAGAGAAUCAGAUUUCCUGAUUGGCCAAAGUCAACACCAAUCAGAAUUUUGCUGUAUCCCACCCAGGCUGGCCUGGAACUACACAUGAAGCCCACAUAGUUUCACACGUGUGGUUCUCCUGCCUCUGUCUUCUCUUGCCAAAAUUACUGCUGUGUACCACAACAACCAGCUAACUUCGGGAUCAUGGAGUAAACAGAGGCAGACAUGGUGACACAUGCCUGUAAUCCCAGCACUCAGGAGGCUGGUGGAGAAAAUUAUGAUUUUAAGGCUAGCCUGGACUCCACUGUGAGUCACAGACAAAUCAAAGCUAAUGAGUGAGACUCUGUCUCAAAACGAUACAAAAAUAAUUGUGUGGGGAAAAAAAUCUCAAAUAUGGCUUCUUUGAAUAAAAACGAAAGUUACCUC